Molecule: transfer RNA, 83 nt
Filed under: Vairimorpha ceranae
Lineage: Eukaryota; Fungi; Microsporidia; Nosematidae
Also listed under: 1 other name
Description: Nosema ceranae tRNA-Leu
Rfam family: tRNA
About the family: Transfer RNA (tRNA) molecules are approximately 80 nucleotides in length. Their secondary structure includes four short double-helical elements and three loops (D, anti-codon, and T loops). Further hydrogen bonds mediate the characteristic L-shaped molecular structure. tRNAs have two regions of fundamental functional importance: the anti-codon, which is responsible for specific mRNA codon recognition, and the 3' end, to which the tRNAs corresponding amino acid is attached (by aminoacyl-tRNA synthetases). tRNAs cope with the degeneracy of the genetic code in two manners: having more than one tRNA (with a specific anti-codon) for a particular amino acid; and 'wobble' base-pairing, i.e. permitting non-standard base-pairing at the 3rd anti-codon position.
Source: RNAcentral
UGGUCAGAUGGCCGAGUGGUUAAGGCGUUGGCUUAAGGCGCCAAUCUCUUCGGAGGCGCGGGUUCAAAUCCCGCUCUGGCCAU